AUGGGAACGCGAAGAACCUUACCUAGACUUGACAUCUCCUGAAUAGUGUAGAGAUACAUGAAGCCCUUCGGGGCAGGAAGACAGGUGGUGCAUGGUUGUCGUCAGCUCGUGUCGUGAGAUGUUGGGUUAAGUCCCGCAACGAGCGCAACCCUUAUUACUAGUUGCUACCAUUAAGUUGAGCACUCUAGUGAGACUGCCCGGGUUAACCGGGAGGAAGGCGGGGAUGACGUCAAAUCAUCAUGCCCCUUAUGUCUAGGGCAGCACACGUGCUACAAUGGUGAGUACAGAUAGAUGCGAUACCGCAAGGUGGAGCCAAACUCUAAAACUCAUCCCAGUUCGGAUUGUAGGCUGCAACUCGCCUACAUGAAGUUGGAGUUGCUAGUAAUCGCGAAUCAGAAUGUCGCGGUGAAUACGUUCCCGGGUCUUGUACACACCG
This 436-nucleotide ribosomal RNA is filed under the name uncultured bacterium. Its description in RNAcentral is "bacterial SSU rRNA". It matches the Rfam family "Bacterial small subunit ribosomal RNA", at positions 954 to 1392 of the family's 1533-position model. The record is from RNAcentral.